GCCGGUCGAAGAUACCAGGCCGCUGCGACUGUUUAUUAAAAACACAGCACUCUGCAAACACGAAAGUGGACGUAUAGGGUGUGACGCCUGCCCGGUGCCGGAAGGUUAAUUGAUGGGGUUAGCUAACGCGAAGCUCUUGAUCGAAGCCCCGGUAAACGGCGGCCGUAACAAUAACGGUCCUAAGGUAGCGAAAUUCCUUGUCGGGUAAGUUCCGACCUGCACGAAUGGCGUAACGAUGGCGGCGCUGUCUCCACCCGAGACUCAGUGAAAUUGAAAUCGCUGUGAAGAUGCAGUGUAUCCGCGGCUAGACGGAAAGACCCCGUGAACCUUUACUAUAGCUUUGCACUGGACUUUGAAUUUGCUUGUGUAGGAUAGGUGGGAGGCUUUGAAGCGUGGACGCCAGUUCGCGUGGAGCCAUCCUUGAAAUACCACCCUGGCAACUUUGAGGUUCUAACUCAGGUCCGUUAUCCGGAUCGAGGACAGUGUAUGGUGGGUAGUUUGACUGGGGCGGUCUCCUCCUAAAGAGUAACGGAGGAGUACGAAGGUGCGCUCAGACCGGUCGGAAAUCGGUCGUAGAGUAUAAAGGCAAAAGCGCGCUUGACUGCGAGACAGACACGUCGAGCAGGUACGAAAGUAGGUCUUAGUGAUCCGGUGGUUCUGUAUGGAAGGGCCAUCGCUCAACGGAUAAAAGGUACUCCGGGGAUAACAGGCUGAUACCGCCCAAGAGUUCAUAUCGACGGCGGUGUUUGGCACCUCGAUGUCGGCUCAUCUCAUCCUGGGGCUGUAGCCGGUCCCAAGGGUAUGGCUGUUCGCCAUUUAAAGAGGUACGUGAGCUGGGUUUAAAACGUCGUGAGACAGUUUGGUCCCUAUCUUCCGUGGGCGCUGCAAGAUUGAGAGAGCCUGCUCCUAGUACGAGAGG
Molecule: ribosomal RNA, 919 nt
Filed under: Squalus acanthias (spiny dogfish)
Lineage: Eukaryota; Metazoa; Chordata; Chondrichthyes; Squaliformes; Squalidae
Description: bacterial LSU rRNA
Rfam family: Bacterial large subunit ribosomal RNA
Source: RNAcentral